UGGGGAAUUUUGGACAAUGGGCGAAAGCCUGAUCCAGCAAUGCCGCGUGUGUGAAGAAGGCCUUCGGGUUGUAAAGCACUUUUGUCCGGAAAGAAAUCCUUGGCUCUAAUACAGUCGGGGGAUGACGGUACCGGAAGAAUAAGCACCGGCUAACUACGUGCCAGCAGCCGCGGUAAUACGUAGGGUGCAAGCGUUAAUCGGAAUUACUGGGCGUAAAGCGUGCGCAGGCGGUUUGCUAAGACCGAUGUGAAAUCCCCGGGCUCAACCUGGGAACUGCAUUGGUGACUGGCAGGCUAGAGUAUGGCAGAGGGGGGUAGAAUUCCACGUGUAGCAGUGAAAUGCGUAGAGAUGUGGAGGAAUACCGAUGGCGAAGGCAGCCCCCUGGGCCAAUACUGACGCUCAUGCACGAAAGCGUGGGGAGCAAACAGGAUUAGAUACCCCCGGUAGGUCCACGCCCUAAACGAUGUCAACUAGUUGUUGGGGAUUCAUUUCCUUAGUAACGUAGCUAACGCGUGAAGUUGACCGCCUGGGGAGUACGGUCGCAAGAUUAAAACUUAAAUGAAUUGACGGGGUCAUAGCUGUUUCCU
This 587-nucleotide ribosomal RNA is filed under the name uncultured bacterium. RNAcentral describes it as "partial 16S ribosomal RNA". It matches the Rfam family "Bacterial small subunit ribosomal RNA", at positions 355 to 1375 of the family's 1533-position model. The record is from RNAcentral.